GACCGCGUGGCGUAAUGGAUAAGGUACUGACUUGGGAUCAGAAGAUUGGGGGUUCGAGUCCCUUCGUGGUCG
Non-coding RNA from Nematostella vectensis (starlet sea anemone), 72 nucleotides. NCBI's taxonomy places the organism in Eukaryota, Metazoa, Cnidaria, Anthozoa, Actiniaria, Edwardsiidae. The record is from Rfam.